Molecule: ribosomal RNA, 656 nt
Filed under: uncultured bacterium
Lineage: Bacteria
Description: bacterial SSU rRNA
Rfam family: Bacterial small subunit ribosomal RNA
Source: RNAcentral
GAGUUUGAUCCUGGCUCAGGACGAACGCUGGCGGCGUGCUUAACACAUGCAAGUCGAACGGAGAUUUUAUUUCGGUAAAAUCUUAGUGGCGAACGGGUGAGUAACGCGUAGGCAACCUGCCUUUUAGUUGGGGACAACACUCCGAAAGGGGUGCUAAUACCGAAUGUGAUCCUUUGGCCGCAUGACCGAAGGAUGAAAGAUGGCCUCUAUUUAUAAGCUAUCGCUAAAAGAUGGGCCUGCGUCUGAUUAGCUAGUUGGUGAGGUAACGGCUCACCAAGGCGAUGAUCAGUAGCCGGUCUGAGAGGAUGAACGGCCACAUUGGGACUGAGACACGGCCCAAACUCCUACGGGAGGCAGCAGUGGGGAAUCUUCCGCAAUGGACGAAAGUCUGACGGAGCAACGCCGCGUGAGUGAUGAAGGUCUUCGGACUGUAAAACUCUGUUGUUAGGGACGAAGGUGCACUUUGCGAAUAGCUGAGUGUAUUGACGGUACCUAACGAGGAAGCCACGGCUAACUACGUGCCAGCAGCCGCGGUAAUACGUAGGUGGCAAGCGUUGUCCGGAAUCAUUGGGCGUAAAGAGCAUGUAGGCGGGCUUUUAAGUCCGACGUGAAAAUGCGGGGCUUAACCCGUAUGGCUUGGAAACUGGAAGUCUUGA